CCAGCCUGGGCACGGGGGACGUCCUGGCCCAUCCCAGGGUUUCUGGAGGGCGAGGGAAAACUCCUAGAAUGGAACUGCCAAUGGGCAUGGGAUUUCUUUUGGGGAAUGAGAAUGUUCUGGAACUGGAGCUUGGGGCAGUCGCAUGGCCUGGGAAGUGCAGUAAAUGCCACUGAGCUGUGCAACUUGAAGGGUGCAUUUCAUGCAUGUGAAUUAUGUCUGAAUAACAAGAAAAGCAGUCCCCAAGGAUUUGCACGAUGACUCACAGGGGCUAUGAGAACUGGACUCUCUUGGAAGCUGCUGCUGCACCACAAUUCAUGUGACACCCGCUGUCCAGUGCAUAGCACGGUGGGAACCUGCCAUCCAAGGAGGUUGGGAUUGGCUGUUGGUCAGAUUGGUUCCUUGUUGUUUUCCUUUGUCCCGGAGGAGCCUCAGGGCUUUGCUCAAUCAGGGCAAGGCCCACACACAGUGCUCAGAGCACAGCCGCGCGGAGCAAAUGUCACCUUGCAAAUAAACCAAUGUCCAUGUGGUACACUGAGCUGGACUGGGGAACAUAGGAAGGCAAGUUUACACCCCUGCCUCUCUGUGGGACCGGCUUCCCCAGGGCUGCACUCCCAGCCGCACAAGCGUGGUGAACUCUGCAGCUGCCCCAGGUCUCUGGUUCUCUCCUUGUUCUCUCUGCGCCCCGCCCUCCAGGUCCCCG
This 700-nucleotide long non-coding RNA is filed under the name Homo sapiens (human). RNAcentral's name for it is "non-protein coding lnc-BNIP3-4:3". The record is from RNAcentral. Lineage: Eukaryota; Metazoa; Chordata; Mammalia; Primates; Hominidae.